RNAcentral lists this long non-coding RNA (611 nucleotides) under Mytilus galloprovincialis (Mediterranean mussel). Lineage: Eukaryota; Metazoa; Mollusca; Bivalvia; Mytilida; Mytilidae. The record is from RNAcentral.
CCCAACCUUCCUUUAUUGGUAUGGAACCUUGUGGUAUAACUUCAGAAAGAUCCAUACACUUAAACACAAGUUAUUGUCUGGAAACUAGAAAAUACUAAUUUUGACCCCUUCCUUUUGUGGUUUCAAACCUUGUGUUUAAAUUUCAUAGAGAUUCAUUCACUUAAACUUAAGUCAUUGUCCGGAAACAAAGUGUCUUUGGACGAAGCUGACAACUAAAGAUUAUGAGGAAGUGAUACCAAUACAUGAGGGUCUGGAUGGGGGGGGUCUGUUAUUCUGUAAACAUUUAAUUUUCACCCCUUUUUUCUCUAAUCUUUAAAAAAAUAACCCCUUUUUUCUCUAAUCUUCAAAAAAUUAACCCCUUUUUUCUCUAAUCUUCAUUUUUUUUGCCCGUUAUUCUCUAAUCUUCAUUUUUUAAGGGCAUUAUUCUUUAAUCGUUUAACCCCAUCCAAACCCUCAUACAUAUGAACGUAAAAUAUUUUGCGGUCGAAUAAAAGGAUGAGGAGUAAACAUCAAGAAGAAAGCAAACCAAAUUAUUAUAUGAACUCUAGAGGCUCUCAAGAGCCUGUGUGGCUCACCUGAUUCUAUACUUGGGAUUUUGAAAUAAAAUUAAA